AGCUCAGUAGCUUAGUUGGUAAAGCACCCGUCUAGCACAUAAGAGUCGUGUGUUCAAAUCCCACCUGAGCAC
RNAcentral lists this transfer RNA (72 nucleotides) under Aedes aegypti (yellow fever mosquito). It matches the Rfam family "tRNA". From Rfam's summary of the family: Transfer RNA (tRNA) molecules are approximately 80 nucleotides in length. Lineage: Eukaryota; Metazoa; Arthropoda; Insecta; Diptera; Culicidae. The record is from Rfam by way of RNAcentral.